Brassica rapa (field mustard) is the source of this 7181-nucleotide long non-coding RNA. RefSeq lists it as uncharacterized. The record is from RefSeq and is a predicted model, not a curated record. Lineage: Eukaryota; Viridiplantae; Streptophyta; Magnoliopsida; Brassicales; Brassicaceae.
AAAUAUAUAUUUAUUAUUUCAUAAUAUGUAAAAAUAUUUAAUACAUAAAAUAAUUUUUAUAUAUAAUGUUCAUCCCGCGCAAGGCGCGGAUCUAGUUGAGUGUAUUUCAGAAGUGCAUUUAAUGAUAUGAAUCUCUCAAAUCUCGAAGAGAAUGUUUUCUGGUCGUGUAUUGAUGAUAACAUGAGGUAUAAUUAAUAACACUGAUAAGACAUAAGUGUCUCCUAGGUUUAGAGAGGGUUUAUUAAUUACGGAUUUAUGAGACAGAAAGUUUUAUACUAGCUUUGAUCUUUCUUUUCUUGUCAGCAAAUAUCCAUAUAAUUAUCGGUUUACCAACCAAUUAGGAUAAUAAAGUUUACAACUUGUUGACAAGAAAAAAAGUUUACAACUUUCCGUAGACAAAAUCACGUAAACAAAUCUUAUUUUUACGACUUAAUCAAUCAGCUUUUAAAUUUAAACAGCGUAGAAUGCAUAUAGGCGUAAAAGAAAGAUCUUUAGUUUGUUGGCCAAAAAGAAAAAGAAAACAUCUUUAGUCUAUUACAUGAUUUUUGUUUUUGACUAAAUAUUUUCUAUUUCAUGUUUGGAUGUUUUGAAACGAAUUAUCACACUGAACUAAGGGAAGAUAAUUUAUCGUAAUACAUAUACAAAUAUAAAAUUUUAAAUUCUAUUAUGAAGUAAUGUUCAGAAUUGCGCUAGCUGUAAUUAGUAGGGGUGUCAAAAUGAGUUAAAGCUUAUGAUUUUGAGCUGGUUCAGCUCAACUCGAUUUUUCAUGAGCAUGAUCUUUCUUUUUAUAGUUCAUUUAGUAAGUGAACUUAAUGAUCGAAUUUAAAUUGAUCAUGAGUUAUAUGAACGAUCUUUAAUGAACAUGAACUAACUCAUGAGCUUUGUCAUUUUUAUACAUUAUAUAUGUGUGUGUGUGUAUAGAUGACUUAUAUUUUUCUUAUGGAUAGUUUCUAUAUUAAUCAUAGUUAUCUUUUAAAAUUAAAAUGUAAAACCAAAAAGUUUUAAAUAUAAAUAAAAAAAUGUAUAAGAAUAUUGAUAUCAAUCUUUAUAUCCUAUAUCUUUAGAAUUAAAAUGUAAAACAAAAUAUUUCUAAGACUUUCACGCGGAAUAUAUAUUUUUAUGAUUUGAAUAGAUGAAGACUUUGAAGAUGAAUCAUUUCAAGCCUCUUAUGUGAAAUAGAUUUUUGGAUCAAUAAAGUAGCUUUUAUUUAAUUAACUAUUAGGUUUUGUUUUUAUUCAGUAUUUAAUAUUAAUGUUUGGAUUUUUAACAUUUAAAUUUUAAUUAUAUUAUGAAAUUAUGUUAUUCUAUAUUUUAUUUUAUAAUUACUUUCUAUUUUUUUAUUUUAAGUUAGAUCGCGAGUUAGUUCAUCUAACUCAUGAUCUAGAUGAUCUGAGUGCGAGUUUACACAUGAAAUCUCAUAUAAUAAAUGAGCUGAGCGAACUAGCUCUUGAAAGAUCCGAGCUCCGUAAGAAUUGAGUUGAGUUGAGCGAGGUAGCUUUUUUUGACAUCCCUAGUAAUAAGUACUGUUUGAUUUAAGCAUAGCCCAAAAUUAAUAAAUCGGAAAUUAAGCCUAGUAAUAAGUACGAUGCUAAUUUAAUGGUGGAAGGUGUGCUUCUCUCAGACUCUGAGCUUCUUGAUGAGGAUUGGGAGGAAGGUGAGUUACCGGAGUUUAUGGUGGAGGCAGAGGAAAUGCUUCCUGUUACAGGGUUGACUGAGCAAAGCGACACUGAGAUCAUUGCGAACAACCCUGGUGCUAUGGAAGAACCUGGUGCAAAAGCGACAAAGAAAAAAGGUUUAAAGACAGGGGCUUUCGGUGGAGCUACCAAGAAGCGUCUUGUUCAGAACCUCCUCUCUUCCCGAAAGAGCAAGAUGUCAAAGGCGCCAGUGAAGAACGGAGAGAAAGGUAAUAGAGAGGGUAAGAAGGCUGGAAGUAAGCCUUGAGUUCUUUUGGAGUGGUGUUAGCGCUCUAGCUCUUUAUUUUAGCUUUAAAUAAUGUCGGAUUACUUUAUAAAAUCCAGGGGUUUUAAGUUGGUUUUUGUUCGUUUUGUUUCUUGGUUGAAGCUGAUUUGCUAUCAGUUAGGGCCUUUGUUUGACCUUAAAUGUAGGGUCUCUGAUUGUUUCCAUGUUAUGAAUAAGAUGAUCGAAUUAUGGUUUUUUUCAUGCGGGAUCCUUUUGGUUCAGUCUGAGUGGAUGGAGUUUGGUACAAAGUUGUGAUCACAAGGAUCUAUGCAGGAUAUUUAUGGGCUUGUGGUCACUAUGGUUGGUUUGUUCUCGGUGUGUUGGUUUGGAUUGGUUGUCGGCGAGUCAUUGUGAGCUGCAGUGCAGUGGUAUAACUUGGAUCAAGUGGACUGAGGCAAGAGAUAGUUGCUAUCUUUGGUUAGAUAACUACUGUCUUUUUACUAUAUGUUUGUUUGGAUAUAAAUAUUCUGCCUGUAGCUGUUUGGUUGUUUAUCUAUUUCAAGUGCGGAGAUGGGGUUUGGUGGAAGUAGAGAUGUCAGCCCAACCCGUGACCCGCGGGUUCGGCCCAUGUAAACCCAUCACGGGGCGGGCUUGGACAAGUCGUUUGAUGUCCAGGAAUUUGCGGGUUUAGCGGGUCUAACCCAAGCGGGUUUGCGGGUGGCCGGGUCAUAACCCGUCACGGGUUAGCGGGUUCGCGGGUUGUCCGCAAAUUAAUGGGUCAGUUCUUCGUCUUCUCUUACUAGAUGCAUCAAACCGAUUCCAACUUUGAUCGCCUUCAACAGAUUUCAUGUUUGAGCUAUUGCAUGCAAGAGAUUCGAUAAGAUCAGUGAUUGCAAGCCUUCGAUGGAGAUUACGUCCGUCUCCUGCAGAGAUUAGAGAGUUAGUGUUUCCUCUGCCUUAUUCUUCCCUCACAAGCUUUAAAUUGUCAAGCCUUCGAUGGAGACUAUGUCUUCUUCAACGCUCGCUCAUAGCAGACUUUUUGCUCAACAAAUACCACCGGAUGAGCUUUAUUCUGCUAUUGUUGUUCUGUUACUGAAUACAAUAUCAAGAGCUGCUACUCUGAAUAUGACACAGAGGAUAGUCAGGAAGGCAUUAAGAAGCUUUGAAGAGAAUGUGAUGGUGAGGUUUAUGAGUUGAGAUGUCUCAUAAAGUCUAGAAUUUUCUUGCAUAGAGUCUGUGCAUCUUCAUGAGAUUACAGAGUGUUGGCAAUUCAUUGAAAAGAAAAACUGUAGCUCCAGUUUCAGAACUUACUCGGCUCUUAUUGACCGAGACUGGAGACGAUCUGGUUGUUUUAUUUAGAAAAAUGAAAUGGAUAUAGGUGAUGCCCUUCUUGUCAGUGAGCUUGUUGAGCAUUUCUUUAAGGUCAACCAUCCAUACUUCUACCUCACGUACCAGGUUACAACUUUGAUUUUACUCACAGUGAUGAUUCUUAGUUAUUGGCUUGUAUAGAUUUUGGUGAUCAUGUUAGAAUAAGUUUGCUUUGGCUUGGUUCUUAGUAAGAAUUUUUUCUGAAUGUAAAGUUUUUGUAAUAAUUUAUAUACGAUGUCUAGCUAUUAUAAAUAUGAAUUCAAUACUUCUAGUCUUGAUUCUCUUGAAACUUGAAAGCUUCUGUAGUUCUGUCGUAACUAGAGGUUGGACUGAUUAGUAUUUACUAAUGUCUAAUGAUUAAUAAAUUAAUGAAUCAUUAAUUCAUUAAUUAACUAAAAACCUAAAUGUCUGCCGCCUUUUUUUUAACCUAAUAGUUACGUAACCACUAACCACGUUUCCUGAAGUCUAAAUGCUUCUUGGUCUUCAUUAUAGUUAGCUAACUCAUUUUGGUUCAAAUAUGUAGAGGAAGAUGAAGAAUAUGUUGAUGAUGAGACAUUACCAUCCUUUGAAUCCAUUAUCGAUGAAGAAGAUGACGCUUGAGGAGAAUCGUUUUAUUAGUGUUUCAGUUUAGCUUGUUGGUUUUCAUAUUUCCAUUUAAAAUUUUAAGUUUGUUCACUGGAAUUUAUUUGGUGUUGCUUUUGAACUACUACAGUUUGUUGCUUUCAUGUUCUUUACGUUGAUUUAUUGGAUUUAUGUUUAGAGAACUAACAUGUUUUUUAACCUGCAAAUCAAAUGUUAUAAGGAGAAUAAACAGGUGCGCUUCUUUCUUACGAGUUGACAAAAUUUAGACUUUGUCUUCUGAAAUAAGCAUGUGCGUUAGGUGGACUGAGUCCACGUGAGAAUAUGUGUAGUUUUUUUCUGAGUUUGAAUUUUUCCUACCUCACGUAGGAAACACAAAAGCACAAUUAUAAAUUAACCAAGAUAGAUAUGAGCAAAGGUCAAAACAGAGACCCUAUUAGUAUUAGUAUUAUUAGACAUUGAACAAAGGUCAUAAUACGUUUUCUUUUGUAGGUAACCCGCGGGUCGACCCGCAAAAAAAGUAAACUAAGCUGGACGGGCUUGGACAAGACAUUUCUGGCCGCAACCCGCCACGGGCCAACCCGCACGGGCUGAUGAACUGACUGAACCGCUGCGGGUCUGUCCAUAUGGACGCGGGUCAACCCGUUUGACAACUCUAGGUGGAAGCCACGUUCCUUGUAAUGGUAUUGAUAUGUGUACUAAUACCUAGCCUUUCAUUAUGGGAGUUUUGUUUACGUUUGAUAGGUGGAUGGUUGCGUUAUGGGUGUUGGUGUUAUUAUUGUGGCGUUAGUGUAUGGAGAUUGUGUUUUUCAUGGAGCAUUUGUUUGGUAAUUGGUACGAAUGGUUUAUGGAAUUGUCUUUUAUGGUGUAUUUGGAAUCGUGUUAUGAGAUUCGAUGUCAUUGUGGAUAAAAAAGGAAACGAUGAGAUUUGGGUAUAUAAAUGAAUUUUAUUGGUUUUGUCUUCUUUGGUAUAGUAGACAGAUUCUUGUUUUUUCAAAUGUGGAUAAAUGAAAAUCUUGAGUUGGAAUUGCCAAGGUCUUGGUAGUCAUUGAACCAUUAGUUAUUUGAGGGAAAUUUGGUCUAAACAUAAACCAAAUUUUAUUUUUCUCUCUGAAACAAAGCAAUAAUUUGAUUUUGUCCAGUCUUUUCAAUUUCAUUUUGGUUAUUCCCAUCUUCACACAGUUGAUCCUCAAGGAAGAAUGGAGGUUUAGCUCUUUACUAUGAUUCAACUUUAAAGGUCAACAUCAUUUCUUCGAGUAAUAGAAUUAUAGAUGUGGCGACAGAAUAUAAAGGCAAGCGUAUCUUUUUGUCAUUUGUGUAUGGAGAACCAAAUCAAGGUCUUAGAGAUCAGGUUUGGAAGAGGCUUACAAGGAUGGGUAUUAUCACGGAUGAACCAUGGUUUAUUAUUAUGGAUUUAAAUAAAAUUACGGGGAACCAUGAAAAAGUAGGGGGACCUCUUCGUCAUGCGGAUUAUUUUAUUUCGUUUAAUAACAUGAUUCAAAAUUGUGGUUUGAUGGAGUUUCCGAGUCUAGGCAAUACUCUCUCCUGGAGGGGACGAAGAGCGGGGCAUGUGGUUAGAUGCCGUCUUGAUCGAGCACUGGGGAAUAAUGAGUGGCAUAACUUGUUCCCAUGCUCCUUUGUAGAAUAUCUGGGGAUGGUAUGGUCAGAUCAUAAACCAAUUGUGGUAACCAUCGAUGAUAAAGUUCUUAAAUUUUGUCGGCAGUUUCGGUUUGAUAGGAGAUGGAUUGGAAAAGAUGGUUUGAUGGAAUAUAUAGAGCAAGGUUGGGCGUUGAAUAGAGGUGGACAGAGGGGAGGAAUAGUUGAUAAAAUUCAUAACUGUCGUCAUGAGAUAUCGGCAUGGCAGAAGGAUAAACCACCAUAUGGGAAGGAAGAAAUAAGUACUUUACAGAAAGACUUGAGGAUGUCCAGAAUGAUAUGACAAAGUCGCAUGAAGAAGUGGUGGAGGUUUCCCGUAAAUUGAAAGAGGCCUAUACAGAUGAGGAACUUUAUUGGGAGGAAAAGAGUAGAAAUACAUGGCAUAUAUAUGAAGAUAGGAACACUAAAUUUUAUCACGCUUUAACUAAGCAACGACAGAUUCAGAAUAUAAUAAGCGGGUUGUACAAUGAGGAGGGGGUCAAAUACUGCAUGGAUUUGUUUCAUUCUACCUCGCCGUCUGACUUUGAUGGUUUUUUAGAGGAGGUACCGGAGUUGGUAACUAUGGAUCAAAACCGGAAAUUAACGGCUUUGGCAAUGGAGGAGGAAGUGAGAGUGACACUAUUUAUGAUUUAUCCUGAAAAGGCGCCGGGUCCAGACUGUAUGACUGCUAUAUUUUAUCAACAGUCUUGGUCGGUAAUUAAACUUGAUGUGGUUAAUAUGGUAAAUGAUUUUUUACGCCCUGAGAAUUUUGAUGAUAGACUUAAUUUGACGAAUAUUUGUCUAAUUCCUAAGACUGUUCGGCCAAAUCGGAUGACGGAGUUGCGGCCAAUUAGUCUAUGUAAUGUAGCCUACAAAAUUAUUUCAAAGGAAAUGUGCCAGCGAUUGAAAGGAUUACUUCCAAACCUGAUUUCAGAGAUGCAAUCUGCUUUUGUUUCGGGAAGAUUAAUUUCGGAUAAUAUUCUCAUUGCUCAGGAGAUGUUUCAUGGAUUAAGAAAUAAUAAUGCAUGUAAGGAGAAAUCUAUGGCUAUUAAGACGGAUAUGAGUAAAGCUUAUAAUAGGGUAGAAUGGUCUUUUAUGGAACGACUUAUGCUGAAAAUGGGAUUCUGUUCGAUUUGGGAAUGUGUAGUCUAGCGGUCUUUUUCCCUAGUUCUUAACCUUCGGAACUCGAGUAAGUAGUAACACACGUAUUGCCAUUUUUUGGAUUAUGUUUAAUGAAAACAAAUUUACGAUUUCUUCUUCUUCUUCUUCUUCUUCUUCUUCUUCUUCUUCUUCUUCUUCUUCUUCUUCUUCUUCUUCUUCUUCUUCUUCUUCUUCUUCUUCUUCUUCUUCUUCUUCUUCUUCUUCUUCUUCUUCUUCUUCUUCUUCUGUAAAUUUUUUGUUCCUGUGCAACUUGUAUUCUAAUAUAUUUUCUAUCGGUUGAAAUUUUGUUAUGUAUAUUAAGAAUGAUAUUUAUAUUUAAUAAAUAUAUAAAAUUAAAUAUUUUCUUAAUCUGUGUACCAAGUCUAAAAUAAUAAUUAAAAUGAAACAGAAGGAUAAUGAUUUAGCACUUCAAAUUAUGAUUUUCCAAGCCUUUUCAUUUAACUAGAUAUAAUUGAAAUUUUAAAGUCACACAUAUAAAUUAAUAAAAAUAAAUUUAAAAAAAAAAUCAAAAUAAAAAUAUCAAUACGUAUUCACCUAAC